CCUACGGGCGACAGCAGUGAGGAAUAUUGGUCAAUGGACGAGAGUCUGAACCAGCCAAGUAGCGUGGAGGAUGACUGCCCUAUGGGUUGUAAACUUCUUUUAUAUGGGAAUAAAAUGUUCCACGUGUGGGAUUUUGUAUGUACCAUAUGAAUAAGGAUCGGCUAACUCCGUGCCAGCAGCCGCGGUAAUACGGAGGAUCCGAGCGUUAUCCGGAUUUAUUGGGUUUAACGGGAGCGUAGGUGGAUUGUUAAGUCAGUUGUGAAAGUUUGCGGCUCAACCGUAAAAUUGCAGUUGAAACUGGCAGUCUUGAGUACAGUAGAGGUGGGCGGAAUUCGUGGUGUAGCGGUGAAAUGCUUAGAUAUCACGAAGAACUCCGAUUGCGAAGGCAGUUCACUGGACUGCAACUGACACUGAGGCUCGAAAGUGUGGGUAUCAAACAGGAUUAGAUACCCCAGUAGUC
This 460-nucleotide ribosomal RNA is filed under the name uncultured bacterium. Its description in RNAcentral is "partial 16S ribosomal RNA". It matches the Rfam family "Bacterial small subunit ribosomal RNA", at positions 338 to 795 of the family's 1533-position model. The record is from RNAcentral.